This 402-nucleotide ribosomal RNA is filed under the name bacterium. RNAcentral's name for it is "partial 16S ribosomal RNA". It matches the Rfam family "Bacterial small subunit ribosomal RNA", at positions 355 to 776 of the family's 1533-position model. The record is from RNAcentral.
UGGGGAAUUUUGCACAAUGGGGGAAACCCUGAUGCAGCGACGCCGCGUGAUUUAGAAGGCCUUCGGGUUGUAAAAAUCUUUUCUAUGGGAAGAAAAUGACAGUACCAUAGGAAUAAGGACCGGCUAAUUACGUGCCAGCAGCCGCGGUAAUACGUAAGGUCCGAGCGUUGUCCGGAAUCAUUGGGCGUAAAGGGUACGUAGGCGGGUAAGCAAGUUAGAAGUGAAAUCCUAUAGCUCAACUAUAGUAAGCUUUUAAAACUGCUCAUCUUGAGGUAUGGAAGGGAAAGUGGAAUUCCUAGUGUAGCUGUGAAAUGCGCAGAUAUUAGGAGGAAUACCGGUGGCGAAGGCGACUUUCUGGCCAUAACCUGACGCUGAGGUACGAAAGCGUGGGUAGCAAACAGG